Molecule: non-coding RNA, 920 nt
Organism: Camelina sativa (false flax)
Lineage: Eukaryota; Viridiplantae; Streptophyta; Magnoliopsida; Brassicales; Brassicaceae
Source: RefSeq, a predicted model, not a curated record
CAUACUCUCGAAAACAGAGGGAUUUUUUGGCUUCACUCGCAAAAUUCUCUUCUUUGAUCUUGUUGAUUAACCAAUCUCCAAUCAAAUUACUGAUCAAACAAUAUUCAGUCAGAGGUGUUGAUUGAGAAAUCAAACCAACAAAUAAGAUAUUCUGAUCAAUCGGUGAGAAAUUGAGAGUCUUCUCCACCAAAGUCGAUGGUUAACCAAUCUCCAUCUGAUGAUCUUUGACUUGAGGAAUUAGAUAUAUUGAAGAACUGACGAAAAGGAAUGAGACGAGGGUGGAUGAGAGAUCGGUUGAUGAUAACGGAGAUAAGGCGAUAUUGGUUAGCAGAGAAAACGUAAUUGUGUUGACCACAAAGAGGGCACUGGUUGGUAUUAGUGCCCGUGCCUUGUUCUAUCCUACUCUGGUUUACAACGUUGUUAGGAAUAAGCUCGAGACUGUGUUUCGCUGGUGGGAUCGUGUCGAUGAGUUUAUAUUACUGGGAGCUGUUCCAUUCCCAUCUGAUGUUCCGCAGCUGAAAGAGCUUUGUGUCUGUGGAGUGAUCACACUAAAUGAGCCGUAUGAAACUUUGGUGUUCUGAAGGCUGCAGGUGGGCCACAUAGAUGAUGAUCCUCCGAUCAUGUUAUAUAAUCAUCCUUCUCUCUCGGGGUGGGGUGAUAGGCAUUAUGUUGUAUAUGCAAGAGAUAUGGCAACUGGAGAGAGCAAAGGAAUAAAACCAAUGCUACUAGGGAGACUGGCUUUUUUAGCCGGAAAACUUUUGCAGAAAUUGGAUGUAAUCAAGAUAUGAUGAAGGCCUUAAAUGAACAUAAUUUUGAUUGACGAUUUGGAUUCAUGGAGUCGUCUGAAUCCAUAUCCUACUUUGUUUGUGUGUGAUAAAAGGAGAAUGAAGAGAUUGCUAAAGGGUUAAUGUAGUGUGUUU